This is a long non-coding RNA of Equus asinus (donkey), 2016 nucleotides long. Lineage: Eukaryota; Metazoa; Chordata; Mammalia; Perissodactyla; Equidae. The record is from Ensembl.
AGAUAGCUGUGGGCAGUUACAUUCAAUUGCAAUGGACUAGCAGAGCUGAAGCAGGGAUGGUCCAAGCUGUGGCAGGAGGAAUAGCAGAAGGGUCUACCUGAUGACAGGCUCCGAAACUGGCUGUGACAGGUAGAAAGAUGGCUCUGCUGAGAUGAGCUCUUAAUUAAUGCACUGAGAGCUUAUGAGUCCCACCUCUCAACAGGAAUGAUUGACGUCCAAGGAUACAUAAAUUACACUAAUUGAGCCCUGCCUCUAUGUAGGCUCUCCACAGCCAACUCAUCAGAGAAGCUAGGGCUGUACCGUAACCAGCUUCUUUGCUUGGCAACUCUAAUGAGCAACCUGCCACCAAAUUCAGAGAGAAUACUCCUUUUGGAGUUCCUGCUUUUCUAAGGCAAAGUGAUUUACAAUUUCUGUGCAAGCAAGAGAACUAAAGAACUCUUCAAAGAAGAAGGGAAGAUCCACAAUGACUAAAAGAGAAAGGGAAAAGCUAAGAAGUGACAUAAUGCUCAAAAUGAGCAGUCCCUCACUGCCUCCACUGGCAUUGGAAGCUAAUUGCAUCGCUAUUUGGUGAAUAAUCAACGAAUUAAAUGAGAUGAAAGAAACAGCAUAAAUUAACAAUGUCAAAAAACAUCGUAAGCCACCCUGAUGAUUAUAAGUGGCUCUGUUUGUUGUUUUGUGGAGCAAAAAUCAGGGUGGCCGACUACAGAUUCUACUUUUCAUCUGGGUGUUUUGAUGUUUUGCAGACAUAGCAUUUGGUGCAAGAGAGAAGUUACGGUUUUAAAUUUGUGAGAUACUGGGGUAAUUUUUCACGAUGCUUCUUAGUCCCUUCCUCCUGAAGAAGCGGGGUUAUCUCUGAGCCUGGACAUAAGUAGUGUGGUUCAAGGUCUCCUGUUGGCCUGAAUUGUGCAAAAGAAUGAUUGAGCUUUCUGAAGCUGCCAGUCUGACUUCAGAUUUUUGGGAAAUCUGUGCCCGAUGGAGUGUUCAGGCUGACUGGGAGCUUUCACUUCAUGUUCGCAACUGACUCUUUACGAGGGGAUCUCUGAGUAUGACAUCCGCAUCUGUAUUCUGUCAUUUGGCCAAGGUGACACUUUGCCUCAAUUAAAAGAAAAAUCCUAAGGGGCAUAAGCAGAUUCUCUUACUAAUGUAUAUAACCUAUAGGAAAAUAGGAGCCAAAGACAAGAUGUUUAGAAAAAAUUUUCCCUUUUUUAGGUCACUGCUUUUUUUAAAUUGUGAAUUAAAAUCGAAUAGCAAUUUGCUCUAGAUUAAGAAGUUAGAGAGCGAACAAAAUGGAUUUCUUGGGGCUGUCCCAGGGAUAGUGAAGAAAUGGCAGAAAUAACUUUAAUGCAGAGAGGUCACUGGCAAAUUCACUUUAAGACAUUUAAAAACACCAUUCCGAAGUUUAUUAUUUUAGUUUGAUCUGAUAUCAGAUACAAAGCAUUGCUCUCAUAGCGUUAAAGUAUCUAGCUAUUUCAAGGCCCUUAAAAAAGCUACAGUGUAAUUAUCCUUGGACCUGGACAGGGACCGCACUGUGCGAUGAUAUGACGAAUAGCUUUCCACACAGGGGCAUGGCCUGGACCCUGGGCCUGAGUCUUCAUGCAGCCAGAUUUGCACAGAUGGAAAGCAGGAUCCUUGCAGAACACCGUGGAUAGCUGUCGCUGUGCUGAGAUGUGUCCUGCACCCCGAAGGGUUUAUUCUUGGCCCAGUGCCCUCUGUCCCCAAGGUCCUGGCCCCAGGGGACUGCAGGUGUCCUCUGUAUUGUGGUAAGAGCCAAGGCUGUGGAAAUGCACAGCCUAGAAUGAAGAGAUAUCCCUCAAAAACUUCCCACUGGCUGUCUGAGACCAAACCACUUGCUUCCCAGCAGGGGGCCCAGCUCACUGGUAACCAUUUGAAAAACUAGCCUUUACCAUCCACGGAGAACAAAGAGGAGAGGAACAAAGCAAGAUGGCUAAAGGCAGAGGAGCAAAUCUUCUCUUUAUAACUCAGGAAUCAGAAAAUGUUUCCUCAGGGAUUCCGUGG